GUAAAGGUGGCUCAACAGUUAAGGGCACUGUCUACUCCUCCAGAGGACCUGGGUUCAAUUCCCAGUACUUACA
RNAcentral lists this transfer RNA (73 nucleotides) under Mesocricetus auratus (golden hamster). It matches the Rfam family "tRNA". From Rfam's summary of the family: Transfer RNA (tRNA) molecules are approximately 80 nucleotides in length. Their secondary structure includes four short double-helical elements and three loops (D, anti-codon, and T loops). Further hydrogen bonds mediate the characteristic L-shaped molecular structure. tRNAs have two regions of fundamental functional importance: the anti-codon, which is responsible for specific mRNA codon recognition, and the 3' end, to which the tRNAs corresponding amino acid is attached (by aminoacyl-tRNA synthetases). tRNAs cope with the degeneracy of the genetic code in two manners: having more than one tRNA (with a specific anti-codon) for a particular amino acid; and 'wobble' base-pairing, i.e. permitting non-standard base-pairing at the 3rd anti-codon position. Lineage: Eukaryota; Metazoa; Chordata; Mammalia; Rodentia; Cricetidae. The record is from Rfam by way of RNAcentral.